GUGGGGAAUAUUGGGCAAUGGGCGAAAGCCUGACCCAGCAACGCCGCGUGAAGGAAGAAGGUCUUCGGAUCGUAAACUUCUAUCCUUGGUGAAGAUAAUGACGGUAGCCGAGAAGGAAGCCCCGGCUAACUACGUGCCAGCAGCCGCGGUAAUACGUAGGGGGCAAGCGUUGUCCGGAAUGAUUGGGCGUAAAGGGCGCGUAGGCGGCCUGGUAAGUCUGGAGUGAAAGUCCUGCUUUUAAGGUGGGAAUUGCUUUGGAUACUGUCGGGCUUGAGUGCAGGAGAGGUAAGUGGAAUUCCCGGUGUAGCGGUGAAAUGCGUAGAGAUCGGGAGGAACACCAGUGGCGAAGGCGACUUACUGGACUGUAACUGACGCUGAGGCGCGAAAGUGUGGGGAGCAAACAGGAUUAGAAACCCGUGUAGUCC
RNAcentral lists this ribosomal RNA (425 nucleotides) under uncultured bacterium. Its description in RNAcentral is "partial 16S ribosomal RNA". It matches the Rfam family "Bacterial small subunit ribosomal RNA", at positions 354 to 796 of the family's 1533-position model. The record is from RNAcentral.